Long non-coding RNA from Diorhabda carinulata, 537 nucleotides. RefSeq lists it as uncharacterized. Lineage: Eukaryota; Metazoa; Arthropoda; Insecta; Coleoptera; Chrysomelidae. The transcript is spliced from 2 exons. The record is from RefSeq and is a predicted model, not a curated record.
CUAUCACUUUGUUCACUUUAGUAAAAUUUAACAAAUCUCCUCCAGAAGGAUAAUAUAUGCAUUAUAAAUACAUUAGCACUGUUUUUUAUCUUCACAAUACUGACGUGUUUAUUGUUUAUUUUUAUACCUUUAAGCUAGUUUCACACGUUACGGUGUGAAGUGAUGGACCUACGUUUCAUCCACGGCGGAACAGCGCAAAAAUUCGGGGUAUUUCUGUGAAACAUUGUCAAACAGUCGAUGGAAACAUCUUCACGACGCUGCUUUUAUUCCAUUUUGAACAAAUUUUCAGUUAAUAUGCGAUGUACUGCACUUUUUGAAAUGCCUACUAUGUCUGCUAGAUUGCUGGCCUUCGAAGAAAAUUACGUUUUUCUUCAAAAAUGUAGUUAUUUUCCUAUCACCUAGCAAUAGUAGUCUUUGGGGAGCCUCUUUUCUAAAACUAAAACUAAAAGUCCCAACUUUCCGGUUAAGGGUUAAAUGGACACAAACAGUUAUCCAUGUACAUAUAAAUAUUUGAAUUAAUAAACAACAAAAACCUUG